This 460-nucleotide ribosomal RNA is filed under the name uncultured bacterium. Its description in RNAcentral is "partial 16S ribosomal RNA". It matches the Rfam family "Bacterial small subunit ribosomal RNA", at positions 338 to 795 of the family's 1533-position model. The record is from RNAcentral.
CCUACGGGCGGCAGCAGUGAGGAAUAUUGGUCAAUGGGCGCGAGCCUGAACCAGCCAAGUAGCGUGAAGGAUGACUGCCCUACGGGUUGUAAACUUCUUUUAUAAAGGAAUAAAGUGAGGCACGUGUGCCUUUUUGUAUGUACUUUAUGAAUAAGGAUCGGCCAACUCCGGGCCAGCAGCCGCGGUAAUACGGAGGAUCCGAGCGUUGUCCGGAUUUAUUGGGUUUAAAGGGAGCGUAGAUGGGUUGUUAAGUCAGUUGUGAAAGUUUGCGGCUCAACCGUAAAAUUGCAAUUGUUACUGGCAGUCUUGAGUACAGUUGAGGUAGGCGGAAUUCGUGGUGUAGCAGUGAAAUGCUUAGAUAUCGCGAAGAACUCCGAUUGCGAAGGCAGCUUACUAAACUGCCACUGACAUUGAUGCUCGAAAGUGUGGGUAUCAAACAGGAUUAGAUACCCGAGUAGUC